CCUACGAGAGGCAGCAGUGGGGAAUAUUGGGCAAUGGGCGCAAGCCUGACCCAGCAACGCCGCGUGAAGGAAGAAGGCUUGCGGGUUGUAAACUUCUUUUCUCAGGGACGAAGAAAGUGACGGUACCUGAGGAAUAAGCCACGGCUAACUCCGUGCCAGCAGCCGCGGUAAUACGGAGGAUGCGAGCGUUAUCCGGAUUUAUUGGGUUUAAAGGGUGCGCAGGCGGAAGAUCAAGUCAGCGGUAAAAUGGAGAGGCUCAACCUCUUCGAGCCUUUGAAACUGGUUUUCUUGAGUGAGCGAGAAGUAUGCGGAAUGCGUGGUGUAGCGGUGAAAUGCAUAGAUUUCACGCAGAACUCCGAUUGCGAAGGCAGCAUACCGGCGCUCAACUGACGCUCAUGCACGAAAGUGUGGGUAUCGAACAGGAUUAGAUACCCGAGUAGUC
This 442-nucleotide ribosomal RNA is filed under the name uncultured bacterium. Its description in RNAcentral is "partial 16S ribosomal RNA". It matches the Rfam family "Bacterial small subunit ribosomal RNA", at positions 338 to 795 of the family's 1533-position model. The record is from RNAcentral.